This 981-nucleotide long non-coding RNA is filed under the name Zostera marina. Its description in RNAcentral is "long non-coding RNA (ZMAR_LNC004069)". Lineage: Eukaryota; Viridiplantae; Streptophyta; Magnoliopsida; Alismatales; Zosteraceae. The record is from RNAcentral.
UUGAAUUGUUCAAACCAAAUAAAAAAAUAGAAAUGAUAGGAGGAUAUUAAAAGCCUCACCAUAAAUGACUAAUUUUUUUUAUAAAGCGAUUUGAUUAAUAUAAAAGAAGUUUAAAAGAUUACAGUAAAAUAAAUAUUACCAUGAAAAUUUAGAAAGAAUAUAGUUUACUCCACCUUGAGCAAGGCUUCUUUCCAUGUCUCCAUCGCGACACAUUCCGAUAUAAAAUCUGAUGUUUUUUUGAAUCUCCUAUCAUCAUAUAUGGUGUUUAAGUCUUUGAUGGAUUCUUUGGCAACUAAAUCUAUUGGGCGUGAGAUACAUGUUGGCAAAGUGUUCCAGUUGAAGCUCCUAGUAAGACGUUGAUGGCUCCUAUUCCAUCGAUGAGGUCGCCGAUCUGCACAUCUCAUUCCACAAUGUAUAGCUUGUACAAAGCAUGAACUCAUUCCACACUUUCCAACAUAAUUCACAAUUGAUAAAAUAGGUGUGCACUUUUUUCAUCUUUACUACCACAUAGCAAUCAUUUGGAUGGAACCCUAAAUCUCAAGCUACGUAAUUUAUCGAAGGGGCCCUUAAUUUCCAUCAUUGAAGGCUCCAUACGCAGAGAAAAUUUCUUGAGGUCCUACAUGUUCAAAUGGCGCUUGACAGAGGGUCCGGAAUAUUUAUCGGUAGUAGCUGUUUGCGUAUAAAAUCGAAGAAAAACAUCUGAGUAGGAGAAGUGUUGGUCACCGCAUAAUUUGGUCCAUCUGUGAAGCAUUUUUUAAUUGCUUCCCGUGUACGCAAUAUAUGUGACCAAUGCAGCGAGUACUCUUUAGACCUUGAUUGUAUGUUGAUUAAGGCUUGAUACCAGAUGUAAUCCAUCUAGCCCACAUCGAUUUACCUUCCCAAAUUCUACGAACCCUCUUUAUCGCCGCCACUCUAUCCAUCUGUCUUGGAUCAUUUAAUCCCAAACCACCAUCUUUUUUCCUCUUGAUCAUUCUGUUCUUG